GAUGGCGACAGAGGGCAGCUCCUCAACAAGUGUCCUCCACACUCUCUCAUAUGAGCACAGAUGGAUUUAGUGUGCGUAAUGUUGGACCCACUGGUAAGACAAACACCCGUUUCCACAAAUAAAGACACUCACAUAAAGUUGCUCAUAUUCAAACCUCACGUGACAAAGGUGGGUUGAGCGCACAGAUCACAACAUAAACUCCAAAAAUGGCAUUAAAAUCGGAACCAUCUGUGCGUAAAUGACCCAUCGCGCUCCGUGGCCUGGCUCUUUCUGUCAGAGAUGUUGGCAUAUAAAAUAAAUUUGGCUCACAAAACUGAAUAUUAUAAUAUCCGUAUGUCGGCUUAAAGUAGAUAACGCAUCUGAGCACUGAAACAAAUCAUCUGUUCAGCUGCAGCAGCAGCAAGACGGACAGAGGACACGGAGACGUGUCCAGGUCGAGCUGUGCGAGAAAUAAGAGGAAGAGGAAGAAAGAAAAGGAGGGAGACGAAUUACAUAUCUUGUUAACUUCAUCAUGUGUGUAUAUUUACUAGAUAUUUAAUUUAAUUUGAUGCGGUUUCAGCUGUGUUGAUUCGGUCAGGUUGUGUGUCCAAACGCGUGCCAAACGCGUUCAUCAGAUCAGAUAUAGAUCAGAAUAUAUCGAUAUAGAUCUAAAUGUAUGUGCUGACUCUGAUUAAUAGUUGAUGAUGAUUAUUUAUUGCACUGAAAUGUGCCUGGCACUGUGGAAACCUGCCGGUGAGGCAUCAGUGACGUAUGUCGAUACGCCGCCGGUCUACCAAAAUACUACAAGACCAGCUGCGUUCCGCCUUGCGCUGAAAGCUGACCAGGUUUGAAUCGGUGAGCUUUCAGCGCACUUUACACGCCGUUGGCGAGCACGAAAAUGUCACUGCGCCAGCUGAUUCUGUCGAAACCUCCCCCUGCCACGCCACCACGCCCAGCUUGGCGGAUCUCGGCUCGCCUCCGUGCGGCUCAUGCCACGAAAAUACCAAACUGGCCUUACGCUGGGCUCCGCCAGACGAAAAUACAACUGCGCGGGGCUCGCCGCCCUCCGCCGCCUCACCGGCGCGCACGAAAAUAGAGCCCUAUGUG
Xyrichtys novacula (pearly razorfish) is the source of this 1086-nucleotide non-coding RNA. NCBI's taxonomy places the organism in Eukaryota, Metazoa, Chordata, Actinopteri, Labriformes, Labridae. The record is from the annotation of a GenBank genome assembly.